RNAcentral lists this unclassified non-coding RNA (329 nucleotides) under soil metagenome. RNAcentral describes it as "partial contains 5.8S ribosomal RNA, internal transcribed spacer 2, and large subunit ribosomal RNA". The stretch from base 1 to 120 matches the Rfam family "5.8S ribosomal RNA", at positions 35 to 154 of the family's 154-position model. The record is from RNAcentral.
GAUGAAGAACGUAGCGAAAUGCGAUAAGUAAUGAGAAUUGCAGAAUUCAGUGGAUCAUCGAAUCUUUGAACGCACAUUGCGCCCCUUGGUAUUCCGAGGGGCAUGCCUGUUCGAGCGUCAUUACAACCCUCAAGCUCAGCUUGGUAUUGGGCCCCGCCGACCCGGCGGGCCCUAAAGUCAGUGGCGGUGCCGUCCGGCUCCGAGCGUAGUAAUUCUUCUCGCUCUGGAGGUCCGGUCGUGUGCUCGCCAGCAACCCCCAAUUUUUUUCAGGUUGACCUCGGAUCAGGUAGGGAUACCCGCUGAACUUAAGCAUAUCAAUAAGCGGAGGA